UGUACCUAUGUACUAUAUGUAUAUUGGUUUCUGGUCACAGCAGAAAGCCUUAUAUAUACAGACCUGUUUAUUAUUAGAACACAUUUCACCAUUAUAAAUUUUUACUGGCUACACCAUGAAUACCCAGAUUUUAAAUAAUAUACAAGUGUGUCAGUUCAGCUGACCACUGUUAGUAUACAAUUGUAUUUCUGAAUGUCUGACCAUCAGUGGUCAGUGUAUGUCUGACUGGGAGUUUUGAAAUGUCCAGUUUGAGUUCACCUGACCUCACAUCUGAUAUCCCCUACAACCUGUGCAGUACAAAGAGCAGAAAAGGCAUUGACCGGUCAGCAUGUUUGACCUCAAGCAGCUGUCCUUAACCCAGGAAUUGAAAGGGGUGCCGUCGGUAUGGCUAGUGUCAGGACUAUUUGGACUUUUGGUGAUCUACGUUUCCGUCAUACCAUCACCGAUAGAGUCGAACUUUUAUAUUUAUCCUAAACCCCUUCCUGUACUGGAGGGUGCUCUUCAAAGAAACAACCUACUACAGAAGGCUAACAAACUGUUUGAGGGACAGCUGUUAGGCCCAGAGUCCAUAACUGCGGGCACAAAUGGAAUACUGUACACAGGAGCCCAGGAUGGGAGGAUUCUAGCCUUCAACAACACCCACCUCUGGACCGUAACACGAACAGGGCAGGAGGUCCCAGGAUGUGGAUCUUUUGAAAUGGAGCCAGUUUGUGGGCGACCUAAAGGGUUAAAGGUCAACAGAGACGGCGACCUCCUGGUUCUUGAUGCAUACUUUGGUCUUUUGAAAGUCAACAUCAGCACUGGUCAGAUUGAGACGCUACUGUCUAGUGACAUUGGUAUUGAGGGAGUCCCAUUCUCCUUUCUCAAUAGUCUUGACAUCUCCCGCUCCGGGCUUGUAUACUUCACAGACUCCACCACCAGGUGGGGCCGCCGUCAUUACAGAUACGAGGUAAUGGAGGUGAACGCCCUUGGAAGACUUAUAGAGUAUAAUCCUGAGACAAAGACAGCCCGACUACUGCUGGGAAAUCUCCACCUAGCCAAUGGAAUCGCAUUGUCACAGGACGAAACCUUCAUCCUCAUUGCUGAGAUGAGUGUUUGUCGCUUGAGAAGAUUGUACCUCAAAGGACCAAAGGCUGGACAGACAGACAUUUUUGCAGACAACUUACCGGGUUACCCUGACAACAUCAAAAUAAACAGUCAUGGGAAUUUCUAUGUUGGCCUGGGGGCUGUAAGGUACGAAGGAGUCAGUAAAAUUGGGCCCUUCCUAGACCUGGUCGGACCCUUUCCUGGAAUCAAAAACUUCAUAGCUAAGGUGACGCCGCUGUUCCUUUUCGAUCUUUUUGUCCCAAGACAUGCAAUCGUUCUGGAAUUCAGUCCUGAAGGCAAAGUCGUCACAAGUCUACAUGACCCCACUGGAGGGGUCACCUCAGCAGUGGGCGAAGCGUACGAACACCAAGGCUAUAUCUACCUCGCUCACUUCAAAAGUACAUUCAUAGGACAGAUAGAUAUCAGGGAUAUCUAGCAAAGUGCAUUAAAAUUGGACAGAUAUCAAAGAUAUCCAGUUAAGUGUAUUCAUAGGACAGAUAUAUAUACCAGGUAUCAGGGAUAUCUAUAAAAUCCAGCUACUGUAUUCUUAGGAUAGAUAUAUACCAGGUAUCAGGGAUAUCUAUAAGAUCCAGCUACGUGUAUUCUUAGGACAGAUAUUUACUGGGUAUCAGGGAUAUCUAUAAGAUCCAGUUACGUGUAUUCUUAGGACAGAUAUUUACUGGGUAUCAGGGAUAUCUAUAAGAUCCAGUUACGUGUAUUCUUAGGACAGAUAUAUACCAGGUAUCAGGAAUAUCUGUAAUAUCCAGUUACGUGUAUUCUUAGGACAGAUAUUUACUGGGUAUCAGGGAUAUCUAUUAGAUAUCCAGUUAAGUGUGUUGAUAGGACAGAAAUAUACCUGCUACAGGGAUAUCUAUUAAAGUCCAUUUACGAAGGAUAGACAGAUAUCAAAGAUAUCCCUUUAAGUGUGUUGAUAGGACAGAAAUAUACCAGGUAUCAGGGAUAUCUAUUAAAGUCCAUUUACGAAGGAUAGACAGAUAUCAAAAAUAUCCCUUUAAGUGUAUAUAUAUAGGACAGACAGGUAUCAGGGAUAUAUAUACAAAGUAGGUUAGUGUAUUCAUAGAAUAGACAGCGAAUAAAAGACAUUUUUAAAGGAAAACCAUAUAUCAACACUGAUUAAUAUCAAGGAUAUAUCCUGAAAAAUGACAGAGAUAUCUAUAAAAGUACAUUCACAAAGGACAGACACAUAUCAAAGAUAUCCAGUUAAGUGUAUUCAUAGGGUAGGCCGAUAUCGGGAUAUCAAGUUAAAUACAUUCAUAGGGUAGGCCGAUAUCGGGAUAUCAAGUAAAAUACAUUUAUAGAACAGACCGACAUCAGGGUUUAGCGUAACAAGGAUAUCCAGAAAAUUAUGUCUAUUAAGGAAAGAUAGAUACCAAGGGUAUCCUGUAGGGUGAAUGAAUAAGUCCUCAUGAAAUAUUAAUAACCCCUGUAAUUUAUCACAGAAUUUUAAUCUAGAAAAAAACCUAUAGUUAAAUUACUACUGCCUACUGUCAGAAAACAAUAUCAGUGAAAUAAUUAGUAUAUUACAGUAUAUUCUUAUAGCAUAAUGUAAAACAAUUAAGAAACCAGGUGCCAUUUCUAAUUUAGUACUUGGUGUUAACUGUACCUACUGUUCUAGAAAUUUUGUGACACACAGAGAGUUAUGUCCCCUUUUCUGUUAAGCUUCUAAUUUGGCUACUGCCUUCUCCAAUUUGUGUAUAAGCUAGUUGAUAUCACUCACUCUAUUAAUAUCAUUAACUUAGCUUCUUGUUGUAUUCAUACCUCAUGUUAUAUAAAAGCAGAGACCUGAUAUGUAUACUCUUUGAUAAAUACUUCUCUGAUAAAAGUAAUUGUUAAUUCUUUUACAUGAUUCUUGUCAACCACAAAGGAUGCACAUUAUUAGACUGUUAAAUAAACAUCAUUCUAUACAGAUGCUUUCUGCGGUAUAUUAGGACAUACUUUAUAUUUUAAUGAAUAUUAAUGUGAAAUUUUCUAGUUCUUCAACUUAAAAAAAAGGAUCUUAUGAUAGUUUACACUUGGUGUUAACUAUAUACUCUUAUUUGAAGAAUCUGCAAGGAGUUAUGUCCCUUAUUCUGUAACACUAGGGCUGUUGCCAAAUCGUUUUUAAUAAAGUUAUUUAAGAAGU
RNAcentral lists this unclassified non-coding RNA (3229 nucleotides) under Mizuhopecten yessoensis (Yesso scallop). RNAcentral describes it as "adipocyte plasma membrane-associated protein-like, transcript variant X2". Lineage: Eukaryota; Metazoa; Mollusca; Bivalvia; Pectinida; Pectinidae. The record is from RNAcentral.